UACGGAGGGGGCUAGCGUUGUUCGGAAUUACUGGGCGUAAAGCGCGCGUAGGCGGCUUUGCAAGUCAGAGGUGAAAGCCCGGGGCUCAACCCCGGAAUUGCCUUUGAGACUGCAUCGCUUGAACAUCGGAGAGGUAAGUGGAAUUCCGAGUGUAGAGGUGAAAUUCGUAGAUAUUCGGAAGAACACCAGUGGCGAAGGCGACUUACGGGACGAGUGUUGACGCUGAGGUGCGAAAGCGUGGGGAGCAAACAGG
RNAcentral lists this ribosomal RNA (253 nucleotides) under uncultured bacterium. RNAcentral's name for it is "partial 16S ribosomal RNA". It matches the Rfam family "Bacterial small subunit ribosomal RNA", at positions 524 to 776 of the family's 1533-position model. The record is from RNAcentral.